Molecule: non-coding RNA, 21 nt
Organism: Caenorhabditis elegans
Lineage: Eukaryota; Metazoa; Nematoda; Chromadorea; Rhabditida; Rhabditidae
Source: Ensembl
UGGAAUUUUCUUGAGAAAGAU